GAUCUUUAGCGCAGUUGGUAGGUCGCGCCACUUAUAAGAAUGAGAAAUGCCGAGGUCGGGAGUUCGAUCCUUCCAUGGAGCG
Non-coding RNA from Teladorsagia circumcincta, 82 nucleotides. NCBI's taxonomy places the organism in Eukaryota, Metazoa, Nematoda, Chromadorea, Rhabditida, Trichostrongylidae. The record is from the annotation of a GenBank genome assembly.